GCCGAAUUAGCUCAGUGGUAGAGCUACCGCCUUGUAAGCGGUGGGUCGCAGGUUCAAAUCCAGCAUUCGGCUCCA
RNAcentral lists this transfer RNA (75 nucleotides) under Patescibacteria group bacterium. RNAcentral describes it as "tRNA-Thr". It matches the Rfam family "tRNA". From Rfam's summary of the family: Transfer RNA (tRNA) molecules are approximately 80 nucleotides in length. Their secondary structure includes four short double-helical elements and three loops (D, anti-codon, and T loops). Further hydrogen bonds mediate the characteristic L-shaped molecular structure. tRNAs have two regions of fundamental functional importance: the anti-codon, which is responsible for specific mRNA codon recognition, and the 3' end, to which the tRNAs corresponding amino acid is attached (by aminoacyl-tRNA synthetases). tRNAs cope with the degeneracy of the genetic code in two manners: having more than one tRNA (with a specific anti-codon) for a particular amino acid; and 'wobble' base-pairing, i.e. permitting non-standard base-pairing at the 3rd anti-codon position. The record is from RNAcentral.